CCAUAUUAUCGGGGAUGAACAACGGGAAUUGCCUUUUGGUUUGCCAUCAUUGGCACUCCUAACUCUCCAUGCUUGGUUUCUCUCUUUAUUCAUAAUGUUAAUUAAGUUUCACGUUAAUCAUGCAGGCAUCCAUGAUGUAUUCACUCGGGCUAUCACCCUGGCAUUUAGGUAG
Long non-coding RNA from Rhodamnia argentea, 172 nucleotides. RefSeq lists it as uncharacterized. Lineage: Eukaryota; Viridiplantae; Streptophyta; Magnoliopsida; Myrtales; Myrtaceae. The record is from RefSeq and is a predicted model, not a curated record. The transcript has 3 exons.